CCACCAGGGGGAGCCAAACCACACAGGCCGGAGGGAGACAGGGAAACGGCUGGGCGUGCCCUCCAUCCAACAGCCUCAUGGAGCCAGGAGAGACGUCAGACACUUCUACGCGCCCAUCAGACUAGAGAGACUGGGCGCCGUUAGAAAACUCGCACUUUUUAAGGAACUUUCCAGAAGCAGGCAGGAGUCAAAAGGAAAGUGUUGGCUUGCGUUGCAGGGAGGAGACGUCUGUUGGAUUGAUCAGAAUUAAGUGAGUAACUCUUGGCCACUCUACAUCCCGGCGAAACGGACGGCUGAAACAUCACUGCUCACUGUGCCUGAGAGUGUGUUCCUUCCUCACUGGGGGGCACUCGUCUGCUUUAACCUUGGCCACUACCUGGAAUGCAUUUCUAACAAGCUCUCGGGCGAUGCCGACGCUGCUGGUCCAUGGGUUACCCUCUGAGAACUAAGGGUGAAGGAAAACAUGCAUGGAUUUUGGAGUCAAAGGACCUGGGUUCAAAUCCUGCAAUGAUCCCUCACCAGUGAUGUGACAUUAGACUGCACCUUCCGAUCACGCCCUCCACCUGACAGAGCAGGGACUCUAGGACCGCCGGGUCACCGCCUUUCAACUUUCUGAGGGAGUCGAGGGAAUCAAGGCUGCACGCAAUUUCCCUGAAAGGAAAAACACGGCCCACUACCUUCUCCUGUAAACGGAAGCAGAAAGGCCUCGGGAUUCCGGCCACAGAUAGCGCAGAGACAGUGAAGGUUCAGAGACAGAGAGGGCUCAGGCUGCCCAAGCGACACACGAGAAGCCAGAUUCGGAAACGCGUGUUCAAGAGGUGGAGGCGGAACCCAGACUCAAAGAGGCCAAGCCCCAGAACCUACGGCCGCCUUGGCCAAGGCGUGACGGCUUUCUAAGCCCGCUUCUAAAGGCUGUGUAGACUGGAGAGUCCUGGAAUCGGUACAGGUUUG
RNAcentral lists this long non-coding RNA (951 nucleotides) under Equus asinus (donkey). Its description in RNAcentral is "lncRNA (ENSEASG00005037186.1)". Lineage: Eukaryota; Metazoa; Chordata; Mammalia; Perissodactyla; Equidae. The record is from RNAcentral.